AUUGAACGCUGGCGGCAUGCCUUACACAUGCAAGUCGAACGGCAGCGGGCCUUCGGGUGCCGGCGAGUGGCGAACGGGUGAGUAAUGCAUCGGAACGUGCCAUUGAGUGGGGGGAUAACGUAGCGAAAGUUACGCUAAUACCGCAUAUUCUGUGAGCAGGAAAGCAGGGGACCGCAAGGCCUUGCGCUCUUUGAGCGGCCGAUGUCAGAUUAGCUAGUUGGUGAGGUAACGGCUUACCAAGGUGACGAUCUGUAGCGGGUCUGAGAGGAUGAUCCGCCACACUGGAACUGAGACACGGUCCAGACUCCUACGGGAGGCAGCAGUGGGGAAUAUUGCGCAAUGGGCGAAAGACCUGACGCAGCCACGCCGCGUGAGCGAUGAAGGCCU
Molecule: ribosomal RNA, 387 nt
Filed under: uncultured bacterium
Lineage: Bacteria
Description: bacterial SSU rRNA
Rfam family: Bacterial small subunit ribosomal RNA
Source: RNAcentral